Molecule: RNA transcript, 4175 nt
Organism: Panicum virgatum (switchgrass)
Lineage: Eukaryota; Viridiplantae; Streptophyta; Magnoliopsida; Poales; Poaceae
Gene name: CST complex subunit STN1-like
Exons: 6
Source: RefSeq, a predicted model, not a curated record
GGCGCAUGCUGCUCGCAGCACUGGCUUCGCCAUACUCCUCUCUUCUGCGGCGACGCGGACUCUGGCAGCCACCGCCGCGCGUAAUCGUCGUGCGCCGCCGACGCGGGGCGGUCGAAGAGACCUCGGCAACGACACCUCUCCCCUAAAGUAGUAUGGACCCUCCUCUUCAUCUCGUGCACAUCAAGAUUCUCGCUGCGGACCUUCUGUCCCUUACCGUGCAGCAGACUUCACCGCCUUCCUUUCUUCGCCGUGGCCGUACGGUCGCUCGUGCAGAGCUUGUCGGAAUUGUGAUCUCUCGUGACCGUAGGGAGAAGUUCCUCCGCUUCUUGAUCGAUGAUGGCACUGGCUGUGUACCGUGCAUCCUAUGGUUGAACCACCAAUAUCUAAAUGCAAACACUUCCUCCGGGCCAUCAGGUUCUGAUCCUACUGCAGAGAUGGCAUUGAAGAUGUCAGAGGAGGUGCGUCUAGGCACUCUUGUGAGGGUCCGAGGAAAGAUUGUCAUGUAUCGUGGUGCGAUCCAGAUUGCUGUUAGAGAUGUGGUCCUGGAGAAGGACCCCAAUGCAGAGGUGUUACAUUGGUUACAAUGUGUUUGCUUGGCCAAGGAGUGCUAUGAUCUGCCACCUGCUCAAGGUGCCACUUGAAUGGAAUCUAUGAAGUGUAAAUCUCUGUGCUUGCUGGAGAGCAAAUCUCUUCUUACAUGAUCAAGUUGUGCAUAAUAAUCCUUAUUAAUGAAAUACAUUGGUUGCGGGAGAUUCACACUGAAUCGAGUACUUGGGUUGUUUGUAACUGCAUUAAGAAGUCUAAUGCAGCAUCACCAAGUGAUUUCCCAUCACAAUCUCCUUCAGAUCCAAAUUCCUUAUUUGGAUUGAGUGCAAAAAGAAGUUCUAUCUUUCCCAGUAAGGACUUACAAACUCUGAUUUGGCUGAUGGUGAGAAUGCUUUGCGAGCCAAUGUUUAUGUUAAAGUUAAACUUUAAGAGUGGCUUUUGCUUGUGUGCAGGUUUGAAAAACCCAUGGACCAAACUGUUGUUUCCUGUCAGCUAUAUAUUGCUUCUCCUUAAAAUUUAUAGCCCUAUCUUUAGUUACACAAUGUUUGAGUGGAGUCUGAUUAAAUCUUAGAAUCUCCUCAGCCUUUCAUGACACAUAAGUUGGACAAAAAAGAUGCAAAAUUGCAUGACUUAAAAGUAUCUGUUGUUCAAUUUGAGCUUGGGCAUUCAGUUCUUAUUUUUGUCACAGCUGCUAAAAGCAUGCACCAUGCAUUGUUCAAAGCAUUUUUUUACCUUCACAUUGACAACGUAUUGCUGUAAAGAUAACUUUAAUCUCAGAUAUACCAUCAUCUCUAGGACAACAUUCUUUUUUUUCAUACUGAAAGGACAACAUUCUCUUAUUUUUCAUACUGAAAGGAAAACAUUCUUUCAUUAGCUAGAAGUUACAGUAUGUAGUCAUAACUUUAAGGAAACUUGUCGUCUUUAGAGGUCAUUGGACAACUUUUGAUCCAGAAUGGACCCAUUGGGUUCAGAAAGUUGGCACCUUCUGAUGAUUCCCACUUGCCUUUUCUCCUCUUCUCUCCUGCUUUAUCCAUGGAGAUCUAAAUCUUUGCAUCAGAAUCUGCUGAGACCACCCCAAGGGAGGCAUAUCAAAAGAGGAGCUCAGUAGUACAAUCAUUUCUCGCAACAUUCUUCAGUCACUUGGUUGAUUCCCUGUAUAUGCACUUCCCUAAAGGCUUCCUUUUUAGCACGCCAAAGAGACAGCCCAUGUUAUUGUGUUGCUAGUAAAUUUUCCAAUCUUCUACAUGGUCCCUUUCUAACAUAUUAGUAUGCCACUCACAUGCUUUCGAAUAUGUUGAUUGGAGAUCAUUAGCUUCUGAAACAUGUAGUUAGACCAUCAUGGACGCUUAAAAAUGAAUAUUAGGAUAACAUUUCUAUUCUCCAUAUUUAUGUUUGUAUAUGUAUGCCUGAUCCCAGGGAUGUGCAUGGAUUGGGAGCUGGAGACGUAUAAUGUGCUUGGCGACCAUAAACAAGGCCGUGUUGGUUUAUGUUUUAUAUCUAAUUUCAAGAAUGGAAAUAUCUCAUCCAGGGAACAUAUUCUCGUGACGUUUCAAGAGAUCGUUAUGUUACUUCGCCCCUAGGGGACCAAUAAACUUCCCUGGAUCUUAUGAUCUUUAAUUGUUUAUAGUACUUGGAUAAGUAGGAUGCCUUAAAAUUAAACCAGAGAGCUGUUCAGACUUGCAACACGGAAUCCACAUAUAUUAGAGUAAGUACAAAUAUCAUUGUUCUUUGCUUUAUGUUUUACGAUUCUGUUUGAGAUCUAAGUGUCUUCUUAAAUGUGUUAUAUAGAUGUUUUACUUUGACAAAUUAUGCUUCUUUGCUAAUCCUGUUUUUUCUUUUGUGGUGGCGAGGGUCUACUAUUUAACCCUUAAAAAACUGGAAAUAUAUUCCCUUAUAACCUAUAGAAUUUUGCAACUGCUCUCUUUCUUAAUUAUGCAUUUUGCUCCUCUCAGUCACCUGCUGUCUUGCUCAUAUUCCGUAUACAGUUGAGAAACCAUUUAAGGUAAAAAAAAACUGUGUGAAACAUAAUUUAUGUUGUUUCUUUCAAUCUAAUCUUGCUCUGGGUAGUCUUCUGCUCAACCCUCCUCAAUGAAACCAUGUCAAUGGAAUGUUCAUUCGUCCUAGGAACAUCAAGCAGUGGGAUCAUAGCUUAACUUCAGAGCUACAGUUUUUAAUGUGAGUACUGAGUGUGCCAGGUGAUUGAUCCGGUUAUAAUUUUAGAUCAGUAUGUUAUUUUUCCUGUAGAAGCGAGGCCAAUACUGAAGCCUGGUAAUGAUUAGAUUCUGUAAGAACUUCAAUAGCUCUAGCAAACCCAUCCACAUAGCACAUUCUGCAGCAUGCUUGGCGAGUAAAAAUGGAAAAAGGAAAUAGUGGCUUCAGACGCAGAGGCCAGCCAAGCAGUAGAUACACAUGGAAACAUGUAAAUUUGUUCCCAAUAUUGCGGCCAUGGUGCAUGUGACUCCAUGUGGCGCAACAGAAGACCGGUCAGACAACCAUUGGAGAGUGGAGACCUCAGCUACACAGCUGUGUAUGUGUCAUGUGUGAGUGUGUGUUGGAAGCUUCAUGCUCAUGAGCCUGGUGUCAACUCACGUGUGCAGUGCACAAGCUUGGACUGAUGCCUGGUGGACUGCUCCCAGCAGCACUCAUAUGUAGGCAGAAAUAAUUAGUGAGGCCGCAGUAGCGCAUGCAUGCUCUUGUUCUGCUGCUCAGACUAGCUGGGCGCCGCUGCAUUUCUGUCUCUGCAUAUCUGGAACUGGAAGUCAGAUGGUUGACGUCCCACAUGCUUUAUUUAUAAUGCAUUGUAUCUGUAUUACUGUACAAAGACACUUGUAUUUAAGGCGAUGGAGAAGGGUGGUUGUUUGGAUGAAAAAUAGUUCUGUUAUGAAGUUAAUAUAUAUAUCUCUUGAUAUUAAGUAUUAGUUUAGGAUUUAAUAAGUUGAUUUGUACUACUGUCUUGCCUUUGAAUGUUUUCUUCUCUAAUCUCUAGCUCUCAAUGCUUUCUAAUGUUUACUGGCAUGCUUACUUGCAGCGGUGUUUCGAAGAUAUGGUAGUGUCUGCCUUUCAUCAGUCGGGCUACAGGUGCCCCUGGCUAGGUGGAGAUAAUGUGGCGGGUAACUGAUAUCAUGUGGCGAAGGAUCUCAAUUUAAUCAGCCAGUCAAAGGUAGAUCUGGACCUGCCCAGUCGCCACAAAUGCAGUGGGCCACAUGUGGGAUGGGGAAAGGUCAUGUGAUCCACUCAUAAAAUGUCUCUGCAGCACAUCACGUACACAGGUUGUGGUAUUUGAGUUACAUUGCCAUUGUCCAGGCCUGCCCUGAAUUUGAUGCAUGCACUCGAGUAAAGGGGUAGAAUAUCUCAGCUGAUGCUUUCCAAAUAUCAGAAAAAGGAAUGAGGAAAGGGAUACAGGAGGGGCUGCAAUUUCACUAUCUCCUUUGCACGAAGGCAAAUAUCCACAUGUACUGUGGAUAGCGUCCAGCUUUUAGGUUCAGCUAUAUAUGGAUUUAUCUACACUAUGUUCAUCCCAUUGUUUGUACUUCCAUGCAUGUUUUUUCUGUUUCAAAUGUUUCGUGGCAUUUCCUUUUAUGGAGAGUACAUCUACAUGGCCUUGGCAAAUGUAAAUCGUGGUCAAUGUA